GAUACGGUGAAGCGAGCUUUUAUGGGAGGCAGCUGUGCUCUGUGUCAGGCUCCCUUAGGUGAUGCCCAAGCUUAUAGACGGACAUUCACGGAUGAGGACAGACAUCACACUUCCCUGGGGAACCACGGGGUCAACCCCAGACCAGGUAGGAACCCUAAGCCCUGUCCUGUUUGCUGCCUGGCUCCAGGACCCUUCUGCCUAUUCCUAGAACAAUUCUUAGGCAGGGCCUUAGCUUUAGGCUGUCCCUGGUGGGCCUGUGAACACGUAAGCAAAGUGGGUCCUAGACUAAGGUAGACUUGGUAGCGGGGACUUUACCACGUCAUAGUGGAGCUCGGGAAGGCACUGAUCUGGAGGGAGACGAGGGAAUGGCCAUCACCCCUUGUAUAGAUAAACAGGUGACAGGUGGUCUCUGUGCCUGCUUCCUAGCCACCAGCAAGGUCAGGGCCGCCUCUCAGAGACCAAGCUAUUCUACGUUUGAAGGCCCAUGGGUUGCAUUUUUGUCUUCUUUUGGUUGUUUUUUUUUUUGGGGGGGGGGUAUAGAAUCUCAGUGUUGUCUCCCUGCCUUAGCCCCCAAGUCUCUGGGAUUACCCUGUGUCACAUCAUUUGGGCUUGUUCCACACAUUCCUCACCAGAGGAGACCCCAAUGUUCUGAAACCUGCCUGCAGUUCUGCCAGGACUUCUUGGAACCUCGGGCUCCCAAAGAGGCCCAUCCAGAAUAUCUAAGUCCCAGCAGCUUGCAAAGUGACCUUCUACACGGUCAUUUCAGGGUCCUUUGGGAAUGGCAG
Molecule: long non-coding RNA, 785 nt
Filed under: Rattus norvegicus (Norway rat)
Lineage: Eukaryota; Metazoa; Chordata; Mammalia; Rodentia; Muridae
Description: long non-coding RNA NONRATT026032
Source: RNAcentral